GACGAACGCUGGCGGCGUGCUUAACACAUGCAAGUCGAGCGGUAAGGCCCUUUCGGGGGUACACGAGCGGCGAACGGGUGAGUAACACGUGGGUGACCUGCCCUUAGCUCUGGGAUAAGCCUGGGAAACUGGGUCUAAUACCGGAUAUGACCUCAUGACGCAUGUUGUGGGGUGGAAAGCCUUGUGCGGCUAGGGAUGGGCCCGCGGCCUAUCAGCUUGUUGGUGGGGUGAUGGCCACCAAGGCGACGACGGUAGCCGGCCUGAGAGGGCGACCGGCCACACUGGGACUGAGACACGGCCCAGACUCCUACGGGAGGCAGCAGUGGGGAAUCUUGCGCAAUGGGCGAAAGCCUGACGCAGCGACGCCGCGUGAGGGAUGACGGCCUCGG
This 389-nucleotide ribosomal RNA is filed under the name uncultured bacterium. Its description in RNAcentral is "bacterial SSU rRNA". It matches the Rfam family "Bacterial small subunit ribosomal RNA", at positions 28 to 420 of the family's 1533-position model. The record is from RNAcentral.